UAGGAGGUCCCGCCUGCCCCGUGAUUUCUAAUUUAACGGCCGCGGUAUCCUAACCGUGCAAAGGUAGCGCAAUCACUUGUCCCUUAAAUAGGGACCUGUAUGAAUGGCUCAACGAGGGCUUAACUGUCUCCCUUCCCCAGUCAAUGAAACUGAUCUUCCCGUGCAGAAGCGGAAAUUAAACUAUAAGACGAGAAGACCCUGUGGAGCUUUAGACGAAAAAUAAACUUUGUUUAAGAAACUUAAUUAAAAGCUAAAACAAUAAGAAAUUAUAAUGUACUGUCUUCGGUUGGGGCGACCACGGGGUAACACCAAACCCCCAUGUGGAACGGGGUAUCAAACCCCUAAACUUAGAAUUACAAUUCAAGGUAGUAAAAUCUUUAACCUAAAAUGAUCCGGCCACGCCGAUCAACGGAAUUAGUUACCCCAGGGAUAACAGCGCCAUCCUCUCCUAGAGUCCUUAUCGACGAGGGGGUUUACGACCUCGAUGUUGGAUCAGGACAUCCUAAUGGUGCAACCGCUAUUAAGGGUUUGUUUGUUCAACA
Molecule: ribosomal RNA, 542 nt
Filed under: Meiacanthus oualanensis (Canary fangblenny)
Lineage: Eukaryota; Metazoa; Chordata; Actinopteri; Blenniiformes; Blenniidae
Description: partial 16S large subunit ribosomal RNA
Rfam family: Bacterial large subunit ribosomal RNA
Source: RNAcentral